AUCAACUUUCGAUUGGUAGGAUAGAGGCCUACCAUGGUGGUAACGGGUAACGGGGUGUUAGGGCACGACACCGGAGAGGGAGCCUGAGAAACGGCUACCACAUCCAAGGAUGGCAGCAGGCGCGCAAAUUACCCAAUCCCGACACGGGGAGGUAGUGACAAUAAAUAACAAUACGGGGUUCUUUCGGAUUUCGUAAUUGGAAUGAGUACAAUUUAAAUCUCUUAACGAGGAACAAUUGGAGGGCAAGUCUGGUGCCAGCAGCCGCGGUAAUUCCAGCUCCAAUAGCGUAUAUUAAAGUUGCUGCAGUUAAAAAGCUCGUAGUUGAAUUUCGGGACCAAUAUGUCGGUCGUGCCUCGGUACGUACUGGCAUCGUUGGUUUCUCCCUUCUGAAGAACCAUGAUGUCAUUUAUUUGGUGUCGUGGGGAAUCAGGACUGUUACUUUGAAAAAAUUAGAGUGUUUAAAGCAGGCUCACGCUUGAAUACAUUAGCAUGGAAUAAUGAAAUAGGACGUUUGAUUCUAUUUUGUUGGUUUCUAGGAUCGACGUAAUGAUUAAUAGGGAUAGUUGGGGGCAUUAGUAUUCAAUUGUCAGAGGUGAAAUUCUUGGAUUUAUUGAGGACUAACUACUGCGAAAGCAUUUGCCAAGGAUGUUUUCAUUAAUCAAGAACGAAAGUUAGGGGAUCGAAGACGAUCAGAUACCGUCGUAGUCUUAACCAUAAACUAUGCCGACUAGGGAUCGGAUGAUGUUAAUUUUUUAAUGACUCAUUCGGCGCCUUACGGGAAACCAAAGUGUUUGGGUUC
This 799-nucleotide ribosomal RNA is filed under the name uncultured Glomus. RNAcentral's name for it is "SSU rRNA". It matches the Rfam family "Eukaryotic small subunit ribosomal RNA", at positions 314 to 1114 of the family's 1831-position model. Lineage: Eukaryota; Fungi; Glomeromycota; Glomeromycetes; Glomerales; Glomeraceae. The record is from RNAcentral.